RNAcentral lists this long non-coding RNA (1214 nucleotides) under Betta splendens (Siamese fighting fish). RNAcentral's name for it is "lncRNA (ENSBSLG00000023151.1)". The record is from RNAcentral. Lineage: Eukaryota; Metazoa; Chordata; Actinopteri; Anabantiformes; Osphronemidae.
AUAUAACAUUUCUUUUCUUUAUUGCUUUCACAGUAGCUGUGAAUUCAGGGUUUUAUUAGUGCUUGUACAGUACUACUGGCUUCUGUAGAUACAAAGGACAUUUCCUGCCAAAGGCAAUGACAUGUAGUCAGAUUUGUUAACGGUGUAGAAAAUGUUACAUUCUCACUUUUUUUCUGGUCCAAACUCAAAACAAGAAUAACUCUGUACAGUAGGAGCAGAGAGGUACCAUUUAUUGGUUUAUUCCUACACAGGAUUACAGUAUGACACUUGGAGCAUUUAAUUUCCUUAUUUUAGCAGCAGUCAACCUCUGUAGAGGGACCAUUAAAGUGCCGUCACGAGAGGUGACAUCUUGUUGACAGCUCUUGAUGAAGAUAAUGGAGUUUGAGCUGAAAAUGCAGAAGAAGAAAAUGAGAAAAGUGUUCAAAAAUUUCUGUCAUAGAUUUAAUUAAAAGUGUGGCUGUGGGGUUUAAAUGAGGGUAAAGUAGUCAAUUUCAGCAUUGAAGGCCCAUCAGGAAAACGUUACUACUGAAGCUCUGGUUUAGGAGGUUGCUCUUACUCAAAGGAGGUGAAUAUGGAGUCACAUUAGGGUCAGAUUAGAUCUGUGCGUGCGUAAACCAAUCUGUGCGUGCAUAACCAGAUUUGUACUUGUAGACUUAGUGGGGCUAUACAGUGUACCAUGCUGACACUUAUAAUUAGGGAGGUUAAAAUUACGCACAAAUCGUGGCUAAUUUACAAGUAAAAUAACGUGGCCCCUAUUUGCCUCCAUGCUCUGAUUGGCUGAUGAACAAGGAAGUUGUCACAGUCCCUUGACGUGGCACAGCAGAUCCUGAAAGCUCCACAAGCAGCAACAAGCUAGUCCACUGACUGAUGACUUUAAUUAUAUUUAAUGAUCAGACAGACAUGACGGCUCAUAUUCAUGAAGUUUGACGUUACUCUUGUGAUUUGCGGAGAGAAUACUCGAGGGGAGGCUGGACAGGUCUGCGCCUCAUCCAGGAGGAAGGAGUGCGGCACGGUGGUGCGGUGGGUAGCACUGUCGCCUCACAGCAAGAAGGUUCUGGGUUCCCUGUCCAGGGUGUACCCUGCCUCUCGCCUCGCUGGGAUAGGCUCCAGCACCCCCGUGACACUAAUUAAAACAAUUCAAGUGCUUGAGAAGUAAAUUUGAACCUUGAGUGAAGUAUCCUGUUAUACUAAUAAAGAGCAAACCUGUAAAACCA